Molecule: ribosomal RNA, 506 nt
Filed under: uncultured bacterium
Lineage: Bacteria
Description: partial 16S ribosomal RNA
Rfam family: Bacterial small subunit ribosomal RNA
Source: RNAcentral
AGUGAACGCUGGCGGUAGGCCUAACACAUGCAAGUCGAACGGCAGCACAGGAGAGCUUGCUCUCUGGGUGGCGAGUGGCGGACGGGUGAGGAAUACAACGGCAUCUGCUCUGUCGUGGGGGAUAACGUAGGGAAACUUACGCUAAUACCGCAUACGACCUACGGGUGAAAGCAGGGGACCUUCGGGCCUUUCGCGAUUGAAUGAGCCGAUGUCGGAUUAGCUAGUUGGCGGGGUAAAGGCCCACCAAGGCGACGAUCAGUAGCUGGUCUGAGAGGAUGAUCAGCCACACUGGAACUGAGACACGGUCCAGACUCCUACGGGAGGCAGCAGUGGGGAAUAUUGGACAAUGGGCGCAAGCCUGAUCCAGCCAUACCGCGUGGGUGAAGAAGGCCUUCGGGUUGUAAAGCCCUUUUGUUGGGAAAGAAAUCCAGCUGGCUAAUACCCGGUUGGGAUGACGGUACCCAAAGAAUAAGCACCGGCUAACUUCGUGCCAGCCGCCGCAGUAA